RNAcentral lists this ribosomal RNA (468 nucleotides) under uncultured bacterium. RNAcentral describes it as "partial 16S ribosomal RNA". It matches the Rfam family "Bacterial small subunit ribosomal RNA", at positions 28 to 507 of the family's 1533-position model. The record is from RNAcentral.
GACGAACGCUGGCGGCGUGCUUAACACAUGCAAGUCGAACGGUGAAGCUCCAGCUUGCUGGAGUGGAUCAGUGGCGAACGGGUGAGUAACACGUGAGCAACCUGCCCCUGACUCUGGAAUAAGCGCUGGAAACGGCGUCUAAUACUGGAUACGAGAAGGGUCCGCAUGGGCACUUUCUGGAAAGUUUUUCGGUUGGGGAUGGGCUCGCGGCCUAUCAGCUUGUUGGUGAGGUAAUGGCUCACCAAGGCGACGACGGGUAGCCGGCCUGAGAGGGCGACCGGCCACACUGGGACUGAGGCACGGCCCAGACUCCUACGGGAGGCAGCAGUGGGGAAUAUUGCACAAUGGGCGAAAGCCUGAUGCAGCGACGCCGCGUGAGGGAUGACGGCCUUCGGGUUGUAAACCUCUUUCAGCAGGGAAGAAGCGAAAGUGACGGUACCUGCAGAAGAAGCACCGGCUAACUACGUG